This 453-nucleotide ribosomal RNA is filed under the name uncultured Leptolinea sp. RNAcentral describes it as "bacterial SSU rRNA". It matches the Rfam family "Bacterial small subunit ribosomal RNA", at positions 916 to 1382 of the family's 1533-position model. Lineage: Bacteria; Bacillati; Chloroflexota; Anaerolineae; Anaerolineales; Anaerolineaceae. The record is from RNAcentral.
GGGCCCCGCACAAGCAGCGGAGCGUGUGGUUUAAUUCGAUGUUACACGAAGAACCUUACCAGGGUUUAACAUGCAAGUGGUAGGAAGCCGAAAGGUGACCGACCCUUCGGGGAGCUUGCACAGGUGCUGCAUGGCUGUCGUCAGCUCGUGUCGUGAGAUGUUCGGUUAAGUCCGCUAACGAGCGCAACCCUCGCUGUGUGUUAUAUGUGUCACACGGGACUGCCGGUCUUAAGCCGGAGGAAGGUGGGGAUGAUGUCAAGUCAGCAUGGCCUUUAUAUCCUGGGCUACACACACGCUACAAUGGCCAACACAAUAGGUUGCUAAGCCGCGAGGUGGCGCCAAUCCAUAAAGUUGGUCUCAGUUCAGAUUGUAGGCUGCAACCCGCCUGCAUGAAGAUGGAGUUGCUAGUAACCGCAGGUCAGCUAUACUGCGGUGAAUACGUUCCCGGGGCUU